GCUUGUCUCAAAGAUUAAGCCAUGCAUGUCUAAGUAUAAGCCUUUAUAUGGUGAGACUGCGAAUGGCUCAUUAAAUCAGAAACUGUUUAUUUGAUAGUGCCUACUACAUGGAUACCUGUAGUAAUUCUAGAGCUAAUACAUGCAUAAAGCCCUGACUGUUUGGAAGGGGUGUAUUUAUUAGAUGGAAACCAAUUCGGGGCAACCCGGUUCAUGGUGAUUCAUAAUAACUUUCGGAUCGACCUUUCGGUCGAUGCAUCAUUCAAGUUUCUGCCCUAUCAGUUGUGGAUGGUAGGGUAUUGGCCUACCAUGACUUUAACGGGUAACGGAGAAUUAGGGUUCGAUUCCGGAGAGGGAGCCUGAGAAAUGGCUACCACAUCCAAGGAAGGCAGCAGG
RNAcentral lists this ribosomal RNA (393 nucleotides) under uncultured Synurales. RNAcentral's name for it is "partial small subunit ribosomal RNA". It matches the Rfam family "Eukaryotic small subunit ribosomal RNA", at positions 30 to 432 of the family's 1831-position model. The record is from RNAcentral. Lineage: Eukaryota; Synurophyceae; Synurales.